UACGUUGAAUAAACACAAUUGAUUACACUCCAACAUCGCCCUCAACAAUUGAGCAAUCGAACUCCUUCUGCGAACAAUCGCGACCAACCUCUGGUCUCAUCAUUGGCGGCCCUGCUGGUCGUCUAACCGUCCGAUCAAGCUUUAGAUUAUGUGGAUGGUGUUGGGGAUGAGGCAGGAAUGAUAUUUGGUGGUCCAAUUGGUGAUCGGUCGGGGUCUAAGAACUCUCGCGAUCGGACCCAGAUUUCGGCGAUGGUGGAUUUACCGGCGACCCAACUGUUGCAUGGACGAUCAGAGAGUCCGAUGGCUGCUCUUUCUCCCAGUUGCUGGCCGGCACCAUGGCUUUCCCACUAGCGAAACCCAGUCUUUUGGAGGAUAGCUCAUCGAAGAAGGCGAGUUCUGGGUGGGGUAGUGAGAAAUGAUCCGGGUAUAAGCAGAAUCGGCUGGUGAGCUUGGCAGGGGCUGCUCUUUCGUUGCUCUUAGUUGUCCCGUCGGGGUUAAGUCCUUCCGGGUUGCUCAAUUCACCCGGGUUCCUCUUUCCGCUUCAUCUGCUGACCGGCGCCAUGGCUUCCCCACUCGCGAAACAUAGUCUUUUGGAGGAUAGCUCAUCGCAAAAGGCAAGUUCUAGGGCGGGGAGUGAGAAACAAUCCAGGUAUAAGCAGAAUCGACCAGUGAGCUUGGUAGGGGCUGUUCUUUCGCUAUUGUUGAUAGUUGUCCCGCUGGGGUUAAGUCCUUCCAGGUUGCUCAAUUCACCCGAGUUCCUCUCUCCGCUUCAGGUAAUUCGCUCAAUUGCUCAUUUUCAUUGAUUAUUACGAUGGGUUCUCUAUUUUGAUGUUCUUAAUUAGCUUUUUGUUUUUCCCCCUUUCUUUGGGUUUCAAUUUCUCACUCAAUUUUUUUUUCUUCUCCCCUAAAUUGUAUGUUGCCAUAGAUUCCUGCUAGCAUUCCUUUUUCCAUGGCAUGCUUUGUUCUUGCUAAUGUAAUGUUAUGUUAAAGA
Long non-coding RNA from Ipomoea nil (Japanese morning glory), 991 nucleotides. RefSeq lists it as uncharacterized. The record is from RefSeq and is a predicted model, not a curated record. Lineage: Eukaryota; Viridiplantae; Streptophyta; Magnoliopsida; Solanales; Convolvulaceae. The transcript has 2 exons.